This 253-nucleotide ribosomal RNA is filed under the name uncultured bacterium. RNAcentral's name for it is "partial 16S ribosomal RNA". It matches the Rfam family "Bacterial small subunit ribosomal RNA", at positions 524 to 776 of the family's 1533-position model. The record is from RNAcentral.
UACGUAGGUGGCGAGCGUUGUCCGGAUUUACUGGGCGUAAAGAGCGCGCAGGCGGCUGGUCAAGUCCGAUGUGAAAGCUCCCGGCUUAACUGGGAAAUUGCAUCGGAAACUGAUCGGCUGGAAGGUGGGAGAGGGUAGCGGAAUUCCCGGUGUAGUGGUGAAAUGCGUAGAUAUCGGGAGGAACACCAGUGGCGAAGGCGACUACCUGGCCCAUUCUUGACGCUGAGGCGCGAAAGCUAGGGGAGCGAACGGG